This 357-nucleotide long non-coding RNA is filed under the name Coffea arabica (coffee). Its description in RNAcentral is "long non-coding RNA (CARA_LNC007801)". Lineage: Eukaryota; Viridiplantae; Streptophyta; Magnoliopsida; Gentianales; Rubiaceae. The record is from RNAcentral.
UGUUAGUGUUCCUUUUUCAUUAGCUAUGUAUCUACCUGCAUUUGUAAAGCAGACCCUCCAAAAUUUUUCGAUGAUUAUAGAAUGCAGUAAGGGUAUUUUUGCAUCGGUGAUUAAUAUGCUUGUUCGUUGUGUAAUUGGUGACUUGGCAUUAUUGCUUGUUCUUUUUUAAUUGACCAGAUACUCACAAAACUCUCGCUUGUAGUGAAUCUACAACUGCCAGCACGCUGGUGGGCUAAGCUUGAGAAGAUGACUUGAAUCUAUUGGAAUAGCAGAGAAUUAGAAAGUUGCCUUAGGAAUGGCAAGUUUAUUUUCCAUUAGUUUGGGAAAUGGAUUUUAUGUUAAACCAAAUUUUGUAAU